Molecule: ribosomal RNA, 428 nt
Filed under: uncultured bacterium
Lineage: Bacteria
Description: bacterial SSU rRNA
Rfam family: Bacterial small subunit ribosomal RNA
Source: RNAcentral
UGGGGAAUUGUUCGCAAUGGGCGCAAGCCUGACGACGCAACGCCGCGUGGAGGAUGAAGAUCUUCGGGUCGUAAACUCCUGUCGAGCGGGAAGAACGUUUCGCGGAUGAAUAAGCCGCGGAAGUGACGGUACCGCUAAAGGAAGCCCCGGCUAACUCCGUGCCAGCAGCCGCGGUAAUACGGGGGGGGCAAGCGUUGUUCGGAAUUACUGGGCGUAAAGGGCUCGUAGGUGGCCAACUAAGUCAGACGUGAAAUCCCCAGGCUUAACCUGGGAACUGCGUCUGAUACUGGAUGGCUUGAAUUCGGGAGAGGGAUGCAGAAUUCCAGGUGUAGCGGUGAAAUGCGUAGAUAUCUGGAGGAAUACCGGUGGCGAAGGCGGCAUCCUGGACCGAGAUUGACACUGAUGAGCGAAAGCCAGGGGAGCAAACG